AGAGGCAAGGGCAGGGGCGCUGGGGGCCCAGAGAGAGGGCGCAGCGAUGGAUGGAUGAGCUGUUUCCAGCAUUCCUGUGCGUCUGCUGGUUGAGGCUGCAGUCAAGAUUUGCGGCGGUCUCGUUCGUUGUGGGCUGAAUAUGAAGGCAACUCGGACUAAGAAGACGACUGCUUUCCAACUGCCCUCCCGCCCUGCAGCUGGCUGAUUUGAGGAAGGGGCUGGGAUCCUUCCCCUUGCUCUCUGGUUGUUCUUGGAGUUACAGCAGCCCCGCGGCAGCUCUGCCCCCUAGUGCGCAUGUGAGGCAGCGCGCCCUUCUCCAAUCCAGAAGCCUCGUCGCGGUGCUGCCAGCAAGGGAGUUUUUCUGUAUUCACUCUGGUGGAAAUAGCAAAACUUGACAGAAAAAAAACCCAAGCCAAACCAAAA
Pongo pygmaeus (Bornean orangutan) is the source of this 423-nucleotide long non-coding RNA. RefSeq lists it as uncharacterized. The transcript is spliced from 2 exons. NCBI's taxonomy places the organism in Eukaryota, Metazoa, Chordata, Mammalia, Primates, Hominidae. The record is from RefSeq and is a predicted model, not a curated record.